This 121-nucleotide ribosomal RNA is filed under the name Poecilimon thoracicus. RNAcentral describes it as "partial 5.8S ribosomal RNA". It matches the Rfam family "5.8S ribosomal RNA", at positions 45 to 154 of the family's 154-position model. From Rfam's summary of the family: 5.8S ribosomal RNA (5.8S rRNA) is a component of the large subunit of the eukaryotic ribosome. It is transcribed by RNA polymerase I as part of the 45S precursor that also contains 18S and 28S rRNA. Lineage: Eukaryota; Metazoa; Arthropoda; Insecta; Orthoptera; Tettigoniidae. The record is from RNAcentral.
NCAGCAAAUUGCGCGUCGACAUGUGAACUGCAGGACACAUGAACAUCGACAUUUCGAACGCACAUUGCGGUCCAUGGAUUCCGUUCCCGGACCACGCCUGGCUGAGGGUCGGUAGCUAAAA